Long non-coding RNA from Sinocyclocheilus grahami, 549 nucleotides. RefSeq lists it as uncharacterized. The record is from RefSeq and is a predicted model, not a curated record. NCBI's taxonomy places the organism in Eukaryota, Metazoa, Chordata, Actinopteri, Cypriniformes, Cyprinidae. The transcript has 4 exons.
GGAGCUACAUCUCAUCGGCUCGAUGUAAGAGCAUGGAACCGCUUUAGUUAUUUUAACAAAAUAACGAUAACCACGGUUGCAAUGGAGAGCAUCCAGAAUCUCCCAAUUGACAUCCAAACCAGUAAACUUUUAGACUGGUUGGUGGACCAGAGGCACUGCACGCUGAAAUGGCAAAGUGCAGUUACAACAAUUAGAGAGAAAAUCAGUGCUGCCAUUCAGGAUAUGCCAGAGAAUGAGGACAACAAACAUUUGCUCUCUGGCUCAUAUCGAAGCUGACAUCUCAAAAAGAUACAACAACCGGCCUGUCAACCUCAUGGGAGUUCAUGUGUGACCAGGAAGAGUAUUUACAUACUGCACAGAUGUAUAAUUUCAUAAAUAUAUUUUUACCAUUUAAAUUGGGAUGGUAAUUGUUUUGUGGUGAUUCCUUUUUAUGGUGGAAUAUUCAAAGAAGGCUGUAAAUAACUUGCGCUUACACAGCUGGCCUCAUUAGUCUGAAGUGCUGAAUUCAGUAAAUGAACUGUCUUAAGAGGCCAACAUUUAAAUAUACAA